Molecule: long non-coding RNA, 3091 nt
Organism: Bos taurus (domestic cattle)
Lineage: Eukaryota; Metazoa; Chordata; Mammalia; Artiodactyla; Bovidae
Source: Ensembl
UUCCAAAGGACCUCCCCAGCUGCAAAAUUCCUUAAUGCUGUUCACUGAAAUUGCAGCUGAGACCAUUUGCCCCUCGGUUGACAGGAACCAUAGCUCCAGAGAGUUGCAAGCAAGAUCCCUGGAAAUGUGUGCCCCUCAGUGCCCAAGAACUGGAGCCAUAUUUGCUUUAUCCCCCGCCCCAGCCCUGCUCCCCUAGUUUCCAUGCAAUUUGAGCGCUAACGCAGAUGGUGUUUUCAAAGAGUCCUGAUGGGACAGGAAAGGGGGAGGGGGCUGAUAAUCCCACCCGACUAGGGAGUGUUCAUUAUGUUCAUUCAGAAAGUCCUGGCCUCUCUGCCAGCUUGGACUCCCCUCCACUUAGGGGCAGCUGUCGGCCCCAGCCAGGAGGCAGAUUUGUUGGUAUUUAAGGGAUUGGAGGAUUAAGUGAUCCAGAGAGGCCCCCACUGCACAACCUCAUCCUCUGAUGACUGGCCGCCCACCUCUGGGUAUUAUUAAAUGAUAAUUACAUCACAGGGCACUGUAUGUCCCUUCCUUCGGAGCCCAGCAGGCUCACAAAGGCAGCAGAGAAUAAGAUUGGGGUCAGAGUGGGAAGCCUCAAUCCUUCUUCUCUCGUGUAGGCAUAGAACAAUCUGUAGAUGGAAGAUCAAACUCAAAAUUAAAUCUGGGAUCCAGUCUGGGUGUUGUUCUUGGCUGACCUCAGAUAUACUGGCUUUCCCUGGUGCAAAGCAAGGACAUCCUCUGCUUGUUGAUGACAUGGGCAAGUUGAACUAACAGACGUCCCCCCCACCCCCCCCACCAACUAUGGGACCAUCUGGUUGAAGAAUCAUAAUCGGAGAUACUUUGGCUCCUGAAACAACAAUUAACGAAUGUCGCAAGACAAUGAUUAAUCCCAGCCUCUUCAUUCUUCCUCUUUAAAAACCCUAACUCAGAGACUAAGGUGAAGAAGAUCUGAGGCUUGUCUCCCACUCCCUUGCUUAGAACCUGCAAUAAACUGCAAUAAACUUAGAACCUGCUUAGAACCUGCUGUAUUUUCCUUCACCAAGUGAACAACAAAAAAAAUUCUUGCCCACCAUCAAGCCAUCAGCCACUGCAGCUGCCCUCCAUGUGCACCCUGAGGGGCAUUCAGGAUGGAGAGAAACAAGAUACUGGCCCUAGAUAAUUAAGAUGCAUAUCAAAGCAAAAACUCCUAUGUAUCCUGGCUCCUAAUGGCAGAAAGUGAAGAGAAACUAAAGAGCCUCUUGAUGAGGGUGAAAGAGGAGAGUGAAAAAGCUGGCUUUAAAACUCAACAUUUAGAAAACUAAGAUCAUGGCAUCUGGUCCCAUCAUUUCAUGACAAACAGAUGGGGAAAGAAUGGAAACCGUGGCAGAUUUUAUUUUCUUGGGCUCCCAAAUCACUGCAGCAGUGAUGCUUGCCCCUUGGGAAAAGCUAUGACAAAUCUAGACAGCAUUCUAAAAAGCAGAGACAUAACUUGGCUGACAAAACUCUGUAUAGUCAAAACUAUGGUUUUUCUAGAAGUCAUGUAUGGAUGUGAGAGUUGUGAUGUAGGCGAUAGAUAGGCUCCAGGUUAGAUAUUUACAGCUGGCCUCCUGUUUGCAUUUCAUGGGGCACCAAGAAGUAGGCUUCAGGCUGGGUAUUUAGAACUGUUAGCAUUUUCUGAGACUAGAGAUGGGUGGGCUCCAGUUAAGACAUUUUCAAUCAGACUUCUGAUUGCCCUCUGAAACGCAGGUAACAGCAUAAACAGGGUAAAUAAGCCAGUGUUUCUCUCUUGUAAGCACCUGAAGGUAAUAGUCAUGGCAAGGACAAAGAGGAGCAAAAAACCCUGUUUCAGUAAAGGAUUAAGGGAUCUCCCUGCCCCCUCUUUUGGGACAAGGGAGACACUACAGAUGUGCAGAAAGGUUCUUUGUGGGCCAAAAGGCAGAGGAUAACACCAGGCCAUAAUGAGUCUUGCUCCUCUCAGAAGCCGUCACUUCAAGAUCCAUCUUGGCUGAGGGGUGCCUGUGCGCCCAGGGGAGGGUCCCAAGUAGGUCAGGUGAGGAAAAAGAAACCACAUAAUUGGCCUGAAUGGAAACAAAGACCCAGAACUGAGCUAUAUAACCUCUUUACUGCAUUCCUCCUCACUAGGGAGGACACCCACAGCCUUUCUCUCUGGGUGUGCGUCUCUGCCUGUCUUCAAACUAAACAAACCAUUUCUCUGUGUGCUCUCCCACUUGCUGUUAUGCUAUAUCUCUAAUAAUAAACUUUGUAUCUGCAUUUACAGUUCUUGCCUCUGUGAUAAAUGCAUUUUUUCACUGGGGGCAAAGAUCCAGGGAAAAGUAGCUUCUAGGCUCUAGCCCUUGCUGGUCUGGUGGCUAGGAUUCCUGGUUCUCAUCCAGGCCACUCAUGUUCAAUUCCUGGGCGGGGAAUUAAGAUCUCACUUCACACCACACUCACUGCUGUCUCGCCAAGAUCAGCUGGACCCUAAAGAAGGCUGAGCGCUGAAAAAUUGAUGCUUUUGAAUUGUGAUGCUGCAGAAGACUGUUGAGACUCCCUUGGACAGCAAGAAGACCAAACCAGUCAGUCCUAAAGGAAAUCAACCCUAAAUAUUUAUUGUAAGGACUGGUGCUGAAGCUGAAGCUCCAAUACUUUGGCCACCUGAAGAGCUGACUCAUUGGAAAAGACCCUGAUGCUGGGAAUGAUUGAAGGCAAAAGGAGAAGGGGGCAGCAGAGGAUAAGAUGGCUAGAUAGCAUUACCAACUCACUGGACAUGAAUUUGAGCAAACUUAUGGAUUGCUGCAGUCCAUGGGGUUGCAAAGAGUUGGACACGACUUACCAACUGAACAGAACAUCCUGGCUUCACCGUUAUCUCUUUGAAACAAUGCCUCAGAGCUAUCUGAGAGGUUGUGUACUGGUCUACAGCUCUCAGGAAUGUCCCAAAUAAAACAUAAUUCUCAACUUUUAGGUUGUGCUUUUUUUCAGCAACCACAAGUCCUCAGUAAAUUGGCUGUGCUCCACCUCAGCAAAUGGAGUUCAGUUCCCUAAGCUGUCCUCCAGAAGCCUUGUCUGACACCACCCCCUCCAAGUCUCCAACCUCACAGUAUUCAGUAUCUUCCCCACC